UUCUCCGCCUCCGUCUCGGAGCGACGUCACAGUUACACGGGGUCAGGACUAAAAAUCAUCGCUGCGGUCAAUGGCCAAUCAUAUCUGAAUAAGCACCACAUCGAUGUUCCACCUGGUGACUUUUGAUAACGCAGCGUUUGCACGUAUAUUGUACGUUCCCUUUCAUUUUCAGUUAACCCUUCACAGGCGUCCAGGAAUUACUUUCAUAGAAUGUCAAUAUGUAAAAAUUGGUGGUGUUUUAUUUGUGAUUUUGACAUAAGUAGGUUUAAUAGGCUUUCCAAACGACACAGAACAAGCAGAUAACCUCUUCACAUUCCGAGGUCUGGUUGCUGAGCAGCCCCGCUAAUUUUAGACGGGUCGGGUUACCAUACUGAGUGAAGGAAUGGGAGGUCUGCAGUCUGGUUGUGCGCAUGCGUCGUCGAGCUACUACAGGUCACUUCAAGGUGCAAAAGCUGGAGUCUCUGAGCCGUUGAAGGUUGAGUGAUUGUAUCAUUUAAAAUUAUACUGCAUAUAAGUGUUGUUGACAAAUACCAUCAUACGUUUUGUUCAUUUUCAGAUCAAGUGUUAUUGGUAAAUUAUGCCUAAUUGUUAUUGUAUCAUGGAAAAUAUCCAAUUAAUAUGCAUAUAAUAAAAAAGUAAGAUAU
Molecule: long non-coding RNA, 644 nt
Organism: Carassius carassius (crucian carp)
Lineage: Eukaryota; Metazoa; Chordata; Actinopteri; Cypriniformes; Cyprinidae
Exons: 2
Source: RefSeq, a predicted model, not a curated record